This is a long non-coding RNA of Halichondria panicea, 1263 nucleotides long. RefSeq lists it as uncharacterized. The transcript is spliced from 3 exons. The record is from RefSeq and is a predicted model, not a curated record. Lineage: Eukaryota; Metazoa; Porifera; Demospongiae; Suberitida; Halichondriidae.
UCACAAAACGAUUAGAAUCUCAAGGAUAGCUUCAGCUGACAACCUGCUGUGGUGCAAAGCCUUUAUAUUUACCAAAGGCUCUUAGCUUUCUGAUGUAAGUCGAUGUUUUCCCAGUUUAACAAAAAUGAAUAGGCUCUAUUGGAGAAAAAUUGGUUUGGAAUGAGCCAAAAUUCAAUCUUGUUACCAAGGUUCACGUGACAGGUACUUCCGCUCUCGACAUUACAGUUGCAAGAACUCCUCAAAUCCCUGUAGCUAGCUGUAAUACUUGGAAUUUGUUCCGUGUUACUAUCAAUGGCGUCGACUGAGUUUUGUGAAGCUGUGGCUUAUGCUCUUCGUUGCGUUGGUCUAAAGGAUCUCACACUGAAGCCAAAGCAAAAGGAGGCUCUCAUCCACCUGUAUGACAAUCAUGAUGUCUUUGUUUGGUUCCCCACGGGCUAUGGCAAGUCUUUGUGCUUCCAACUGCUCACUGAAGCAGACAAGCUCUAGCUCUACAAGAGUUGAGAGAAGUGUUGUGCUGGUGCUGUCACCACUAGUGUCUCUGAUAAUAGACCAGGUUUCAGGCCUCCGGAAGAUCAAGAAGGGUGUCUCUGCUGUUAUAAUUAUUGUCUGGCAACAAAGAUGUCGAGAAGGUGAGUGACGUGUCCGAGGGUCGGUUCUCUCUCCUCUAUAGUGCUCCCGAGGCACUCCUUGGCAGAGAAGCGUAGAAGCAGCUCUUGGUCCAACGUCCCCUCUGUGACUCUGUAGUGGCAGUCGCUGUUGACGAAGCACACUGUGCGUAUAAGUGGUACAGAGAUCUACCGUUGGGUUGCUGAGUACUGGCAGUCUCAACAGAAGGUGCUUGAGUAUAACGUUGCUCCGAUCCCUCAGCGGCACGGCACGUCUUGUUGAUAUGAAGCAGUGACUAACAAAAUUAAUUAACAGUAAUUUUUACUCUCUUGUUUUUAUAUUACUCUUGUCCUGGACGGGGAAACAGAGUCGCCUUCCAGCGGCUCCAACGGUCUGACGCUUAGCUAAUGGUGGUCUUGCUACGUGUACGUGUGUGUGUGUGUGGGAGAAACCCCUACCCCACUAGUGUCUUUGGAUAUCUUUCUCGGAGCCGAUUACUCGUCGGCUGCCAGUGACACUUGUGAGAGGCCUGGGCAGCCAUCUCUAGCUCUCUGUUGUUUUAAUGUAUUUUUCCUACGAACCAUGCGGUUUAACGUAUUCUCAUUUUGUUUAUUUUCCGUUUUAUUAUCAACAAUAAAUUUAGCGCAUGUGCACUAA